Molecule: long non-coding RNA, 168 nt
Organism: Limulus polyphemus (Atlantic horseshoe crab)
Lineage: Eukaryota; Metazoa; Arthropoda; Merostomata; Xiphosura; Limulidae
Exons: 3
Source: RefSeq, a predicted model, not a curated record
UUAUCUGUCUUUUUGUGUUACGAAGCGUGAGGAGUGAAUAUUUAACAACGUGUGUAAAGAUGGGGGAGAGCUGGCUUCGUCAGAGAUUACGAAUAUUUUUAUUUGAAGUUAAUGAGGACGUUUCUUGUAACAACUGGGACGUGUCUAAAGAUGUGAAUUUUGAGGUUA